RNAcentral lists this ribosomal RNA (492 nucleotides) under uncultured bacterium. RNAcentral describes it as "partial 16S ribosomal RNA". It matches the Rfam family "Bacterial small subunit ribosomal RNA", at positions 29 to 507 of the family's 1533-position model. The record is from RNAcentral.
AGUGAACGCUGGCGGUAGGCCUAACACAUGCAAGUCGAACGGCAGCACAGUAAGAGCUUGCUCUUACGGGUGGCGAGUGGCGGACGGGUGAGGAAUACAUCGGAAUCUACUUUUUCGUGGGGGAUAACGUAGGGAAACUUACGCUAAUACCGCAUACGACCUACGGGUGAAAGCAGGGGAUCUUCGGACCUUGCGCGAUUGAAUGAGCCGAUGUCGGAUUAGCUAGUUGGCGGGGUAAAGGCCCACCAAGGCGACGAUCCGUAGCUGGUCUGAGAGGAUGAUAACCCACACUAGAACUGGGACACGGGCCAGACUCCUACGGGAGGCAGCAGUGGGGAAUAUUAGACAGUGGGCGCAAGCCUGAUCCAGCCAUACCGCGUGGGUGAAGAAGGCCUUCGGGUUGUAAAGCCCUUUUGUUGGGAAAGAAAAGCAGCAGGUUAAUACCCCGCUGUUCUGACGGUACCCAAAGAAUAAGCACCGGCUAACUUCGUG